UACGGAGGGUGCAAGCGUUGCUCGGAAUUAUUGGGCGUAAAGGGCAGGUAGGUGGUCCGAUUUGUCUGGGGUGAAAUCCUUGGGCUUAACUCAAGAAGUGCCCCAGAAACGGUCGGACUAGAGUGCUGGAGAGGCUAGCGGAAUACCCGGUGUAGCGGUGAAAUGCGUAGAGAUCGGGUGGAACACCAGAGGCGAAGGCGGCUAGCUGGACAGUGACUGACACUCAACUGCGAAAGCGUGGGGAGCAAACAGG
This 253-nucleotide ribosomal RNA is filed under the name uncultured prokaryote. Its description in RNAcentral is "partial 16S ribosomal RNA". It matches the Rfam family "Bacterial small subunit ribosomal RNA", at positions 524 to 776 of the family's 1533-position model. The record is from RNAcentral.